Molecule: ribosomal RNA, 253 nt
Filed under: uncultured bacterium
Lineage: Bacteria
Description: partial 16S ribosomal RNA
Rfam family: Bacterial small subunit ribosomal RNA
Source: RNAcentral
UACGUAGGGUGCAAGCGUUGUCCGGAAUUAUUGGGCGUAAAGAGCUCGUAGGUGGUUUGUCGCGUUGUUCGUGAAAACUCACAGCUUAACUGUGGGCGUGCGGGCGAUACGGGCAGACUGGAGUACUGCAGGGGAGACUGGAAUUCCUGGUGUAGUGGUGAAAUGCGCAGAUAUCAGGAGGAACACCGGUGGCGAAGGCGGGUCUCUGGGCCGAUACUGACGCUGAGGAGCGAAAGCGUGGGGAGCGAACAGG